Molecule: non-coding RNA, 30 nt
Filed under: Rattus norvegicus (Norway rat)
Lineage: Eukaryota; Metazoa; Chordata; Mammalia; Rodentia; Muridae
Source: RNAcentral
UCCCAGUGGCCCGAGUCUGCCUCAGCAGGU